AGGGCCCUGGUAAGGUAGUGGACUAUAUAGGGCCCUGGAAAGGUAGUGGACUAUAUAUAGGGAAUAGGGCCCUGGUAAGGUAGUGGACUACAUAUGGGGAAUAGGGCCCUGGUAAGGUAGUGGACUAUAUAUAGAGAAUAUGGCCCUGGUAAUGUAGUGGACUAUAUAUAGGGAAUAGGGCCCUGGUAAGGUAGUGGACUAUAUUUAGGGAAUAGGGCCCUGGUAAGGUAGUGGACUAUAUAGUUACUUUACUUGACAUUUAAAUGUAAAACUUGAGUCGGGCAUACCAACUGGGCUACAACAUAUGGUACCAAAUGGUUACUUUACCAUCUCUAAAUGGGUUGUAAAAUGGGCUAUCUGCUGUGAAUAUGGUCAGGGAUUGUCUCUGGGACUACUGGGUCAUGUAUGUGAGGGACCCAGAACGAACCUGAAUACUGUUUUAAUUAACUGUUAAAAGACGGCAACUAAUGAAAUGUGGGGA
Long non-coding RNA from Oncorhynchus tshawytscha (Chinook salmon), 481 nucleotides. The record is from Ensembl. NCBI's taxonomy places the organism in Eukaryota, Metazoa, Chordata, Actinopteri, Salmoniformes, Salmonidae.